GAUGAACGCUGGCGGCGUGCCUAAUACAUGCAAGUCGAGCGAACAGACGAGGCGCUUGCUCCUCUGACGUUAGCGGCGGACGGGUGAGUAACACGUGGAUAACCUACCUAUAAGACUGGGAUAACUUCGGGACACCGGAGCUAAUACCGGAUAAUAUAUUGAACCGCAUGGUUCAAUAGUGAAAGACGGUUUUGCUGUCACUUAUAGAUGGAUCCGCGCCGCAUUAGCUAGUUGGUAAGGUAACGGCUUACCAAGGCAACGAUGCGUAGCCGACCUGAGAGGGUGAUAGGCCACACUGGAACUGGGACACGGUCCAGGCUCCUACGGGAGGCAGCAGUAGGGAAUCUUCCGCAAUGGGCGAAAGCUUGACGGAGCAACGCCGCGUGAGUGAUGAAGGUCUUCGGAUCGUAAAACUCUGUUAUUAGGGAAGAACAAAUGUGUAAGUAACUAUGCACGUCUUGACGGUACCUAAUCAGAAAGCCACGGCUAACUACGUG
This 497-nucleotide ribosomal RNA is filed under the name uncultured bacterium. RNAcentral describes it as "partial 16S ribosomal RNA". It matches the Rfam family "Bacterial small subunit ribosomal RNA", at positions 28 to 507 of the family's 1533-position model. The record is from RNAcentral.